UACGGAGGAUCCGAGCGUUAUCCGGAUUUAUUGGGUUUAAAGGGAGCGUAGGUGGAUUGUUAAGUCAGUUGUGAAAGUUUGCGGCUCAACCGUAAAAUUGCAGUUGAAACUGGCAGUCUUGAGUACAGUAGAGGUGGGCGGAAUUCGUGGUGUAGCGGUGAAAUGCUUAGAUAUCACGAAGAACUCCGAUUGCGAAGGCAGCUCACUGGACUGCAACUGACACUGAGGCUCGAAAGGGUGGGUAUCAAACAGG
RNAcentral lists this ribosomal RNA (253 nucleotides) under uncultured bacterium. RNAcentral describes it as "partial 16S ribosomal RNA". It matches the Rfam family "Bacterial small subunit ribosomal RNA", at positions 524 to 776 of the family's 1533-position model. The record is from RNAcentral.